Molecule: long non-coding RNA, 1461 nt
Organism: Canis lupus familiaris (dog)
Lineage: Eukaryota; Metazoa; Chordata; Mammalia; Carnivora; Canidae
Exons: 3
Source: RefSeq, a predicted model, not a curated record
CAGAAAAGCUGAGAACCCUGGUAUUCAAAGAGAGGAAGUGCUGCGUUGUCUCAGGAGCCAGCAUGAGAUGCUGCACCUAUGCUUCGACCUGUCACUGGUCGCAUUCCUUUCCUUAAGAGAAGAAUGGGAACUGAGGAGAAGAAAAAGAAGACUCUUCUUUUAAGGACAUUUUCUGGAAGUUAGAAGCAGCCCCCAAUACUUUCGUCACACUGUAUUGGCUGGAAUCCACAAACCAUGGGAAACAAACCAUCUUGGAACUUUCAUUUUAAUAGAUAUCUUCAAUUUCCUUCCAAGUGCCCGGACUCUGUGUUAGCUCCUUCUACCUACAAGCUUGGGACACGAUGAACAAGGACCAACUCUGCAUCUCAGUGAGCUUCAGGCAAUGUGUUAUUUGGGCCUGAAGUGAUCCUGGGUCUUGCCCCUACCGACCAAUAUACACAAUCCCUUGAAAAAAUUUGGUUCACGAGUCACAGGCCAGCCUCCACAAUGAGAAGUAGAACUGGCAUCGACAUUUAGGUUAACAGAGAAGAUAGGUGAGAUAAUUUGAAUCGUUUCCAUUAACCUAUUUGGAAAUUUUCUCCUGUGAAUGUUGGUAUCUAUUUUCUUACACGACGAGAAAGAAAAAGGGAACGAGGCUGAAUUUUCUUCAGAUGGUAUUUUGAGAGAUAUUUGAAUAACUUGAAGCAGAGAAUAAAAGUUUAUUUUAUUGAAUGUAGUCAGAAGAGGUUAACUGACUUUGUUCUCAGAUCACCAAUUUGAGGAAAUUGAACAUAUCCUGAGAGACCCUAUUUAUCAGGCUCUUGAUGGCUGGGAGAAUUUUACAUCCUCGUUGAAAUGACAAGAUGUGAAUACACUAACCUUGAAACUGCAAGGAGAGAGAGUCAUGAGGACCUCUCAUUUAUUGAAGGAAGUAAAGAUAUUUUGAAAUCAAAUUGGACAUAUCUUCCUUUAUCAGACUGCCCUGGAUUCAGAGAGAAUACAGAUUGGUGGAAAUUGCAGAUAUUUGAUGGAAAUGAAUUCAUAGUAUUAAAAGAAAGUCUUAGAUUUUUAAAAUGCAUGUGAAUCAUUAUGUUUCUGUAGCUACUCUUGGAAUGGACACUUCAAGAUAUUCAGAACUGCUGAACAUUAGCUUCCAGCAAUCUGACUGUUUGGGUUAAAAGUGUAUCCACCAGGAAGAAGUCAUAAUCCUGAGGUUUUGGAGACAGUGAUAAACCUAGUAGACUAAACUACGAAUAUAUUCCUUAUGUUUGAUAACAACUAGCCUGUUGAUACCAGUUCCAUAAUUAACAGGGGUGAAAUUGAACUCACAUUAGUAACAGGCCUCUAACUGUUUUAUGGAAACAAAAUUUAUUAAAGUGUGUUUUAAGGGGACACCUGGGUGGCUCAGUUGGUUGAGUGGCCAACUGUUGAGUUUCAGCUCAGGUGGUGAUCUAAGGGUCCUGGGCUCUGCUCUUUGUCACU